UGCUCUGGUAGUCUAGUGGUUAGAGCAUCCACCUUAGAUGCAGGAGGUCAUGGGUUCGAACCCUGGCUGAGUCA
Potamilus streckersoni is the source of this 74-nucleotide non-coding RNA. The record is from the annotation of a GenBank genome assembly. Lineage: Eukaryota; Metazoa; Mollusca; Bivalvia; Unionida; Unionidae.